AGCAGCCGCCACGGUAAUACGGAGGGUGCAAGCGUUAUCCGGAUUUAUUGGGUUUAAAGGGUCCGUAGGCGGAUCUGUAAGUCAGUGGUGAAAUCUCACAGCUUAACUGUGAAACUGCCAUUGAUACUGCAGGUCUUGAGUAAAUUUGAAGUGGCUGGAAUAAGUAGUGUAGCGGUGAAAUGCAUAGAUAUUACUUAGAACACCAAUUGCGAAGGCAGGUCACUAAGAUUUAACUGACGCUGAUGGACGAAAGCGUGGGGAGCGAACAGGAUUAGAUACCCCAGUAGUCCCUGUCUCUUAUAC
RNAcentral lists this ribosomal RNA (303 nucleotides) under uncultured bacterium. RNAcentral describes it as "partial 16S ribosomal RNA". It matches the Rfam family "Bacterial small subunit ribosomal RNA", at positions 507 to 807 of the family's 1533-position model. The record is from RNAcentral.